Molecule: transfer RNA, 73 nt
Filed under: Bos taurus (domestic cattle)
Lineage: Eukaryota; Metazoa; Chordata; Mammalia; Artiodactyla; Bovidae
Also listed under: 2 other names
Rfam family: tRNA
About the family: Transfer RNA (tRNA) molecules are approximately 80 nucleotides in length. Their secondary structure includes four short double-helical elements and three loops (D, anti-codon, and T loops).
Source: Rfam by way of RNAcentral
UCCUUGGUGGUCCAGUGGCAAAGACUCUGUACUCCCAAUGCAGGAGUCCCAGGUUCAAUCCCUGAUCAGAGAG